UGAGUAACACGUGGGUAACCUGCCCAGAAGUGGGGGAUAACAUUUGGAAACAAGUGCUAAUACCGCAUAACAACUUAGAUCACAUGAUCUUUGUUUAAAAGAUGGUUUUGCUAUCUCUUCUGGAUGGACCCGCGGCGUAUUAGCUAGUUGGUGAGGUAAUAGCUCACCAAGGCGAUGAUACGUAGCCGACCUGAGAGGGUAAUCGGCCACAUUGGGACUGAGACACGGCCCAAACUCCUACGGGAGGCAGCAGUAGGGAAUCUUCCACAAUGGACGAAAGUCUGAUGGAGCAAUGCCGCGUGAGUGAAGAAGGUUUUCGGAUCGUAAAACUCUGUUGUUGAAAAAAAACAUACGUGAGAGUAACUGUUCACGUACUGACGGUAUUCAACCAGAAAGCCACGGCUAACUACGUGCCAGCAGCCGCGGUAAUACGUAGGUGGCAAGCGUUGUCCGGAUUUAUUGGGCGUAAAGAGAAUGUAGGCGGUUUAUUAAGUUUGAAGUGAAAGCCCUCGGCUCAACCGAGGAAGUGCUUCAAAAACUGGUAAACUUGAGUGCAGAAGAGGAAAGUGGAACUCCAUGUGUAGCGGUGGAAUGCGUANAUAUAUGGAAGAACACCAGUGGCGAAGGCGGCUUUCUGGUCUGUAACUGACGCUGAGAUUCGAAAGCAUGGGUAGCAAACAGGAUUAGAUACCCUGGUAGUCCAUGCCGUAAACGAUGAGUGCUAAGUGUUGGAGGGUUUCCGCCCUUCAGUGCUGCAGCUAACGCAUUAAGCACUCCGCCUGGGGAGUACGAUCGCAAGAUUGAAACUCAAAGGAAUUGACGGGGGCCCGCACAAGCGGUGGAGCAUGUGGUUUAAU
RNAcentral lists this ribosomal RNA (857 nucleotides) under Companilactobacillus paralimentarius. RNAcentral's name for it is "bacterial SSU rRNA". It matches the Rfam family "Bacterial small subunit ribosomal RNA", at positions 107 to 950 of the family's 1533-position model. Lineage: Bacteria; Bacillati; Bacillota; Bacilli; Lactobacillales; Lactobacillaceae. The record is from RNAcentral.